AUGGAUGUGAGAGUGGACUAUAAAGAAAGCUGAGCGCCGAAGAAUUGAUGCUUUUGAACUGUGGUGUUGGAGAAGACUCUUGAGAGUCCCUUGGACUGCAAGGAGAUCCAACCAGUCCAUCCUAAGGGAAAUCAGUGCUGAGUGUUCAUUGGAAGGACUGAUGCUGAAGCUGCAACUCCAAUACGUUGGCCACCUGAUGCAAAGAACUGACUCAUUUGAAAAAACCCUGAUGCUGGGCAAGAUUGAGGGCAGGAGGAGAAGUGGAUGACAGUGGAUGAGAUUGGCAUUGCCAUUGGCAUCACCGACCAAUGGACAUGAGUUUGGGCAAACUCCAGGAGUUGGUGGUGAACAGGGAGGCCUGGUGUGCUGCGGUUCAUGGGGUCACAAAGAGUCAGACAGGACUGAGUGACUGAACUGAACUGAACUGAGGAAACUUCAGGAGAUGGUGAAGGACAGGGAAGCCUGGCGUGCUGCAGAGGUUGCAGGGUUGGAUACAACUGAGCGACUGAACAACAACAUACCAUAGGCAAUACUAUAUGGUACUAUUAAUUUCUUUUGAGUUUUUAUGUCUACUGCAUGCAACAAUUCUAAUCGUAUUAACUCUAUUUAGAAUAUGAACAUCUGGGUUUAAGUCCAGGAUGCCCCAUUCAAGUAGCCUGCUUCUUCAAGCCUUGGCCUUCAUGUUUCUAGGACUGAGAUCCUGCUACUUGCAGCAUGGGACUGCUACCAGGACUAAAUGAGUGCUUUGUUUACUGUAGAGUUACAGGUCUCUCCAGAAAGUAUCUUCCAGUAUGUGCCUAGAAGAUACCGUCCUAGCUACCCGUGGUCUGGGAGCCAAGCCAGUGAGGAGUGGGGCGGAUCUCAGCCCUCAGUCCCCUUCCCGUCUGCACCCACACUUCUGGAAACAGCUGGUACCACCAAGUACAGGCCACAGAGCCUGUGGGAGUCCUCAGCGCAGGCCGAGCUGCUCCUUGCCUUUCCUCACCCUGGGCCUCAGAUUCAGCGUGUCAUCUACGAGUCAGCGGUUACUCAUCCUUCAGUGUUCAAGCCCCGCCACGUUUUGUCGUCUCUGUGUGGUCUUGUGCGGUACAGGGUCCUUUUGCCGUCAUUUAGACGGGUUUCCAGGAGGAGCUGGAGGAAGUGCCUGUGUGUAGUCUGCACGUGGGGACUGACUGACUCGUGGGCUGGGAAGGAAAAGGUAGCACAUGGGUCGGUGGACGGGUUGAGCAGGAGGCAGAUGGCAUGCUGGCCGAGGGUGAAGGGCCUGGCAGACCUGGAGGGGCAGAGACUAGGCGGGGGAGCUGAACCUCGUGGCGCAGCCUUAGAACUUAGGAGAGCUCCAUUCAAGGUACUGCCUCGGCAGAGUCCAAAGGUGUUGCUGAAUCAGGAUCAGAAAGCGGCUUCAAGCCGUAUCCAAGAGAGUGCAUCAAGGACCUUAGAAAUAGCUGUAAUCUUAUUCAAUUAACUUCAUUUGUAGAAUUCUUCCUGAGAAGAGAAAGUAUAGAAUAUACAUAUAAUACAUAUACUUUCCUAAUAAAAGUUACUAUAUAU
Bos taurus (domestic cattle) is the source of this 1551-nucleotide long non-coding RNA. Lineage: Eukaryota; Metazoa; Chordata; Mammalia; Artiodactyla; Bovidae. The record is from Ensembl.